Molecule: ribosomal RNA, 1447 nt
Filed under: uncultured organism
Description: 16S ribosomal RNA
Rfam family: Bacterial small subunit ribosomal RNA
Source: RNAcentral
GAACGCUAGCUACAGGCUUAACACAUGCAAGUCGAGGGGCAUCAGGAAGAAAGCUUGCUUUCUUUGCUGGCGACCGGCGCACGGGUGAGUAACACGUAUCCAACCUGCCCUUUACUCGGGGAUAGCCUUUCGAAAGAAAGAUUAAUACCCGAUAGUAUAAUGAUUCCGCAUGGUUUCAUUAUUAAAGGAUUCCGGUAAAGGAUGGGGAUGCGUUCCAUUAGGUUGUUGGUGAGGUAACGGCCCACCAAGCCUUCGAUGGAUAGGGGUUCUGAGAGGAAGGUCCCCCACAUUGGAACUGAGACACGGUCCAAACUCCUACGGGAGGCAGCAGUGAGGAAUAUUGGUCAAUGGGCGCUAGCCUGAACCAGCCAAGUAGCGUGAAGGAUGAAGGCUCUAUGGGUCGUAAACUUCUUUUAUAUAAGAAUAAAGUGCAGUAUGUAUACUGUUUUGUAUGUAUUAUAUGAAUAAGGAUCGGCUAACUCCGUGCCAGCAGCCGCGGUAAUACGGAGGAUCCGAGCGUUAUCCGGAUUUAUUGGGUUUAAAGGGAGCGUAGGUGGACUGGUAAGUCAGUUGUGAAAGUUUGCGGCUCAACCGUAAAAUUGCAGUUGAUACUGUCAGUCUUGAGUACAGUAGAGGUGGGCGGAAUUCGUGGUGUAGCGGUGAAAUGCUUAGAUAUCACGAAGAACUCCGAUUGCGAAGGCAGCUCACUGGACUGCAACUGACACUGAUGCUCGAAAGUGUGGGUAUCAAACAGGAUUAGAUACCCUGGUAGUCCACACAGUAAACGAUGAAUACUCGCUGUUUGCGAUAUACAGUAAGCGGCCAAGCGAAAGCAUUAAGUAUUCCACCUGGGGAGUACGCCGGCAACGGUGAGACUCAAAGGAAUUGACGGGGGCCCGCACAAGCGGAGGAACAUGUGGUUUAAUUCGAUGAUACGCGAGGAACCUUACCCGGGCUUAAAUUGCAGUGGAAUGAUGUGGAAACAUGUCAGUGAGCAAUCACCGCUGUGAAGGUGCUGCAUGGUUGUCGUCAGCUCGUGCCGUGAGGUGUCGGCUUAAGUGCCAUAACGAGCGCAACCCUUAUCUUUAGUUACUAACAGGUUAUGCUGAGGACUCUAGAGAGACUGCCGUCGUAAGAUGUGAGGAAGGUGGGGAUGACGUCAAAUCAGCACGGCCCUUACGUCCGGGGCUACACACGUGUUACAAUGGGGGGUACAGAAGGCAGCUAGCGGGUGACCGUAUGCUAAUCCCAAAAGCCUCUCUCAGUUCGGAUCGAAGUCUGCAACCCGACUUCGUGAAGCUGGAUUCGCUAGUAAUCGCGCAUCAGCCACGGCGCGGUGAAUACGUUCCCGGGCCUUGUACACACCGCCCGUCAAGCCAUGGGAGCCGGGGGUACCUGAAGUACGUAACCGCAAGGAUCGUCCUAGGGUAAAACUGGUGACUGGGGC